UCUCGAUUCGUCUAGUGGUUAGGAUACCUGCUUGUCAUUCCAGUAAUCUGUUGUGGUAAUUCGCAGGUGGCCGGGGUUCAAUUCCCCGAUCGAGAG
Molecule: transfer RNA, 96 nt
Filed under: Daldinia eschscholtzii
Lineage: Eukaryota; Fungi; Ascomycota; Sordariomycetes; Xylariales; Hypoxylaceae
Also listed under: 1 other name
Description: tRNA-Asp
Rfam family: tRNA
About the family: Transfer RNA (tRNA) molecules are approximately 80 nucleotides in length. Their secondary structure includes four short double-helical elements and three loops (D, anti-codon, and T loops).
Source: RNAcentral